This 120-nucleotide ribosomal RNA is filed under the name Arthrobacter sp. 8AJ. The record is from RNAcentral. Lineage: Bacteria; Bacillati; Actinomycetota; Actinomycetes; Micrococcales; Micrococcaceae.
CGAUUAUGUAUGUAAUUGGUUGGAAACGCCCGGUCCCAUUCCGAACCCGGAAGCUAAGACCCACAGCGCCGAUGGUACUGCACCCGGGAGGGUGUGGGAGAGUAGGUCACCGCCGGAACA